GAAAUGUCAGAGCCCCAGGCUGUCUUUGCCUUAUUAUUUCCCUGGCAUUUGAUUCCAACCUCUUCAAACAGCAACCAGUUCUGUCAGAGGUUUCUCUCCAACUGAUUAGUGCACAUUGGUUUGUUUAACCCUUGUUGUGCUGGACACAAUUUUGUUAGUCCCUCUUUGGAUCCGAUCCAACUGCCUACCCAAGCACUGUGAAUACCAUACUUGGAUUGACUGGUUGGUGCGGCUCCGUUUUGGGAUGCAUGCUAGAUUCGGUACAAACACUGUGGAAUUUCUUUUCACAGUUUGAUUUAAUGGCACACAGCGGAUUUUAAUGCGAUUGGAUGUUUUCGGACCUGGAUAGCUUGUUGCACUGCCCUUGAUGAAGCUCAAUGAGCGAAACAUGUCGGGGUUCUUCCAACAGGUUCUUUUGCUACUGUUAUAGUCGCCAAUAUCAUCUAUGAGACCAUCCAUGUCUUGUUUUGUAUUUUGUAUUUAAAAAUUUAAUAUGUAUGUUUGAAUAAAUUAUUACUUUUAUAUU
Molecule: long non-coding RNA, 526 nt
Organism: Rana temporaria (common frog)
Lineage: Eukaryota; Metazoa; Chordata; Amphibia; Anura; Ranidae
Exons: 4
Source: RefSeq, a predicted model, not a curated record